AUACGUAGGGAGCGAGCGUUGUCCGGAAUUACUGGGUGUAAAGGGAGCGUAGGCGGGAGUGCAAGUCAGAUGUGAAAUACAUGGGCUCAACCCAUGGGCUGCAUUUGAAACUGCAUUUCUUGAGUGAAGUAGAGGUAAGCGGAAUUCCUGGUGUAGCGGUGAAAAGCGUAGAUAUCAGGAGGAACACCGGUGGCGAAGGCGGCUUACUGGGCUUUUACUGACGCUGAGGCUCGAAAGCGUGGGGAGCAAACAGGAUUAGAUACCCUGGUAGUCCACGCUGUAAACGAUGAUUACUAGGUGUGGGGGGACUGACCCCUUCCGUGCCGCAGUUAACACAAUAAGUAAUCCACCUGGGGAGUACGGCCGCAAGGUUGAAACUCAAAUGAAUUGACGGGG
RNAcentral lists this ribosomal RNA (396 nucleotides) under uncultured bacterium. RNAcentral's name for it is "partial 16S ribosomal RNA". It matches the Rfam family "Bacterial small subunit ribosomal RNA", at positions 523 to 918 of the family's 1533-position model. The record is from RNAcentral.